RNAcentral lists this ribosomal RNA (441 nucleotides) under bacterium enrichment culture clone ALO1_GLFRUDD03HGQ0Q. RNAcentral's name for it is "bacterial SSU rRNA". It matches the Rfam family "Bacterial small subunit ribosomal RNA", at positions 9 to 447 of the family's 1533-position model. The record is from RNAcentral.
GAGUUUGAUCGUGGCUCAGAUUGAACGCUGGCGGCAUGCCUUACACAUGCAAGUCGAACGGCAGCACGGGAGCUUGCUCCUGGUGGCGAGUGGCGAACGGGUGAGUAAUGCGAUCGGAACGUAUCCUGGAGUGGGGGAUAACGUAGCGAAAGUUACGCUAAUACCGCAUAUUCUGUGAGCAGGAAAGCGGGGGACCUUCGGGCCUCGCGCUCUUGGAGCGGCCGAUGUCGGAUUAGCUAGUUGGUGAGGUAAAGGGCUCACCAAGGCGACGAUCCGUAGCAGGUCUGAGAGGAUGAUCCUGCCACACUGGAACUGAGACACGGGUCCAGACUCCUACGGGAGGCAGCAGUGGGGAAUUUUGGACAAUGGGGGCAACCCUGAUCCAGCCAUGCCGCGUGAGUGAAGAAGGGCCCUGGUUCGUAAGUACGUACGUUCGUCGUA